GAUUUUAUCGAUAGAGUAUAAACAAUCAUAGAUUAUUUAUAUAUGUAUCUCUGUGUUUAUGUCAUCUGUACCAAGAGACUACAGAUAAGAUUUAAUAUAGAUACCUAAUAAUAAAAUAGUUAUGUUACGGAUCAAUAGCUACAGAUCAAGUGCGAUCUUUAGGUUAAGCGUAUAGCAUGCGGAACACAUUUAAGAUGGGUGCCAUUUCUUGGCCCAAGCUAGAGAUUCCUAAUAAACCGAGCGUCUGAGGUUAGGGGUCGCCGGCAUCAGCCCUAUUGAUGAAUAGUGGUGACUCCGAAACGAAAUACAUUCCAUCUUUAUAACCUUAUAUUGUACAUAAAAUCAUCCGCUAUAGAAAUUUCACCUACUGACGAAUUGCAAAUUGUAUAUUAUCAGUUAUAUAUAGCUGUAUCUAUGUACAAAAAUGAAAAGUCCAAUGCAAGAGCAAAGGAAGCAGGUCCUUCUCUCAGUGACCACUAGGUUUUGUUUGUUCUGCGUGACAUUCUCAGUCAAUAGGUAUUAAGAAUGGAUUGGAAAUAACCAACCUGACCCACAUUCUUUUCGCGGAACUUCUCAUCUCUGCACGACACGUGUUAAUGCAAGUAUAAGUCAUCGUUUCGAAUCUUGAGAUUAUUGAGUUAUUACAGUUGAAUUCGCAUUAAAAGGAUCGGAUAUUUUAAUAAUAAUACUUCAUUGGAAAAAGAAUAUAUUUUAGUCAGGGAUAUUACAUACCAUAGAUGCAGUAUCCUAACAUCGAUUGAAAUUAACAUCAGAGGGCUAUACAGAAUUAAUUUGUAAAUUAACUAAAAAAGGACAUAUUUCAUCCGAAAUUGCUUUAUUCCUCGUAUGUUUUGUUUAUAAAAAUUUAUUCAGAAUCUGUUUCAAGCAAACUGAUUAAGAUUCAAUGCUUUAUCAUUGUUUAUCACAUGAACAGUUUGCAAUAUUAAAAACAUGGUGAUGUUUGAGGUGGUAUGGCAUUUUGUCAUAUUAUUAUAGGCAGAUGAUGAAAUCUAGAUGUGAUACUUUGAUAUUCCCAUGGAAUGACAUAGGUGCAUUACCACAUUGGAAACAAAAUUUUGAAAAUUGUCAAAAGUAUAGGAUUUACCUCUGCCAGAAGAUUAUUUAAUCAAAAAAGCUAUUGCUAUUAAAAAACAUCUGGAAAGGAAUCAAAGAUAAGGACAGCAAGUUCUGAUUGAUUCUAAUGGGGUCUGGAAUUCAUUGACUUGCAUAUUUUUAUAAAUCAAAAAGACCUUCCUCCCCCUGUGGAUACCAUGACUAGCAAUUAAUUAUAAAAGUACAUGGUCAUUGAAGACCGAGAACAGUUUUUGUAGUAAUAUAAACAAAGUAUCAUGUGAUAACAUGUAAAGUGUUUCACGUAUCAUUCUUGGCAUGCUAAUAUUAGUCGCACGCAGCGACCAAGCUCGGUACAAGGUACUGAUAUUGGCUGCAUACGAUUGCCGAAAUCCUGGUACUAGUGUUUGAUUGAAAGAGUUAAAGAAAUCAAAGUUUAAGUCACAAUGAAGACUUCAUCAGAGUUUAGAAGUCAAAAUUAUUAUAGAAAAUAAUUAAAGAAUAAUUACAAAGUUCUCUUGACUUCAAAAUUGGAUUUAAUCUCAUUUAUGAUU
Frieseomelitta varia is the source of this 1625-nucleotide long non-coding RNA. RefSeq lists it as uncharacterized. Lineage: Eukaryota; Metazoa; Arthropoda; Insecta; Hymenoptera; Apidae. The transcript is spliced from 4 exons. The record is from RefSeq and is a predicted model, not a curated record.